Molecule: ribosomal RNA, 446 nt
Filed under: uncultured bacterium
Lineage: Bacteria
Description: bacterial SSU rRNA
Rfam family: Bacterial small subunit ribosomal RNA
Source: RNAcentral
GCCAGACUCCUACGGGAGGCAGCAGUGGGGAAUAUUGGACAAUGGGGGGAACCCUGAUCCAGCGACGCCGCGUGAGUGAAGAAGUAUUUCGGUAUGUAAAGCUCUAUCAGCAGGGAAGAUAAUGACGGUACCUGACUAAGAAGCCCCGGCUAACUACGUGCCAGCAGCCGCGGUAAUACGUAGGGGGCAAGCGUUAUCCGGAUUUACUGGGUGUAAAGGGUGCGCAGGUGGCAGGGCAAGUCAGAUGUGAAAGCCCGGGGCUCAACCCCGGGAUUGCAUUUGAAACUGUCCGGCUAGAGUGCAGGAGAGGUAAGCGGAAUUCCUAGUGUAGCGGUGAAAUGCGUAGAUAUUAGGAGGAACACCAGUGGCGAAGGCGGCCUGCUGGGCUUUAACUGACGCUGAGGCUCGAAAGCGUGGGUAGCAAACAGGAUUAGAUACCCGCGUAC